CACACUUACAGCAGGUAAUACAAUGAAUGCAUCUAUUGUGGAUCCAAAUGUAAGUGGACCCCCCCCCCCCCCGGGGAAUAAAUAAUCUUAGUCAGAGAUUACAGAUGAAGUCAUAGUAGAUACUAUGUGGUCAAAGGGUGAAAAAAUCAAGAUAAUGUUUGCUCUUUGCACAUACCCCACCCUUUACACGCCAUUCUCAUGAAGAGACAAAAAGAUGCACACAAUGUAUUUUACAUGUGGUUCUUGUUUUGAAUUUAUGGCGACCUUAAAGUGACUCUGUCACAGGGUUUCCUUGGCAAGAUUUUUCAGUGACAAUAAGCAAAGCAAAGCUUAAAACUUAAUAAUGAAUAGAAUAGAAUAGAAUAGAAUAGAAUAGAAUAGAAUAGAAUAGCAUAACAUAGCAUAGCAUAGAAUAGAAUAGAAUAGAAUAGAAUAGAAUAGAAUAGAAUAGAAUGGAGUUUUCCCGGCAAGGACACAUGAACUCCCCUUCUAAAGGGAAAGCCCUCCCCUCCUUCUCUUUCAAAGUUUCAAUUCAGGGCCAGCUCGCUCACUCGAUCAUGCUGACUUGCAAGGGCGAGAUGGCGUAGGAGUAGAGCAGCAGCAUGAAGCUGGUCAGGAAGGUGCACAGCGCCAGCCCUUGCCCAUGCAGUGCCAGUUCUUCUUUUGGGGCAGCAUGGCCAUCACCUACGAGUGGAGUCGGGGGAAAAAGACAGUAAAAAUUAGCUGCAGAAGGAGCAAUGAGGGAUGGUGGCAGGAAGGGUGGUGAGCUGAGCGUGAGCCUUUCCUCAUUCUUUGUCCAUCCUUCUCUUUCCACCCUUCCUUUCAAAUCCUCUUUCAGAGGGUGAGCCUUCUGUCAUUGGGUGGAGAUACGUUUCAAAAUACUAAUACACGUUAGGGAAGAUUCCAACAAACAAUGGAAAGCAAUAAAUGCCUUAAUACAUGAUUCUAAACAUAUUCAAAUAGCAAACCAACUGGUUCCCAAAAGAAGCCAACAGAAGCCAACAUCGAAGACCAAUUUAUAAUCCCCAAAUUAGAUAAUAACAUAACCUAUCACAUAACAUAACAUCACCUAACAUCUAACCUAAAAACAUUGAGGACAUUAAACAUCAAUUUAUAUGAAACCACAUUUCAAUUAAAAAUAGUAAUUAAAAUGAUUAUGUAACCAAAAAACCAACAGAGCCAACAAAGCUGACUGAAGCUGAACCAGCAGAGCCAGAGUAUAAUACGAUUUCCGGAUAUGUGUGGAUUCCUACCCUGGUCUGUACUAACUAGCAGUAAUUAUCUAAAAGUUUUCUCAACUGUAGCCAAGAACUGAGGCUGAAACCUUUUGCAAGGAAAGCAUGUGCUCAACCACAGAGCUACAACCCUUCUCUUAAGCACUCUCAUACCAUUUGUGCAUUUUCCCAGCUUUAUACCAAAUAAAAACAUAAACAAUUAUAA
This is a long non-coding RNA of Anolis carolinensis (green anole), 1440 nucleotides long. RefSeq lists it as uncharacterized. The transcript is spliced from 2 exons. The record is from RefSeq and is a predicted model, not a curated record. NCBI's taxonomy places the organism in Eukaryota, Metazoa, Chordata, Lepidosauria, Squamata, Anolidae.